UACGAAGGGAGCUAGCGUUGUUCGGAAUCACUGGGCGUAAAGCGCACGUAGGCGGAUUUGUCAGUCAGGGGUGAAAUCCCGGGGCUUAACCUGGGAACUGCGCUUGUAACUGAGAGGCUAGAGUGUGGCAGAGGGGGGUGGAAUUCCACGUGUAGCAGUGAAAUGCGUAGAUAUGUGGAGGAACACCGAUGGCGAAGGCAGCCCCCUGGGUCAAGAUUGACGCUCAUGCACGAAAGCGUGGGGAGCAAACAGG
RNAcentral lists this ribosomal RNA (253 nucleotides) under uncultured bacterium. RNAcentral describes it as "partial 16S ribosomal RNA". It matches the Rfam family "Bacterial small subunit ribosomal RNA", at positions 524 to 776 of the family's 1533-position model. The record is from RNAcentral.